UGCAACUUCAGCUGGAGAAAUCUGAGGUUAGACAAGGAAUCACACCGCUAUAACCUGGAGAAAACCAUCCAAAAUAGCGGUUAUUUUUCUCGGCUGAGGAUCAGGAACUGCAUUUAUUCGUCUGGGAAUGACUGGAUGAACAGGAGGACCUGAGGUACUGCGGCUCAAGAGUUAUGACUCUGCUCUGAUAGAUGUCAUCCUGCCCCGACAUUUGUAUGGGUCUUUCUUAUCAACCACAGAUAUCCCCUGGUGGACUCAGCAAUCUCCGUGAUACCAGAGCUACAUCUGUUCCUCCGUCUACUUGUGGUCAGACAGCAUUAACAUCAAAGAUCCACACAAGUUCAGCCAGCACUAAACAUGGAGGACUAUGACAUUCGCUCGGCCGCCAGCAUCCUGGCCUCCGUGAAGGAGCAGGAGGAGCGCUUUGAGCAGCUGACCCGAGCCCUCGAGGAAGAGCGUCGUAAUGUUACCCUGCAGCUCGAGCGUUCCAACCUGCCUCCCAACUCCUCGGCCAGCCAGCCACUAGCGUGGCAACAAGUGGUGA
This is a long non-coding RNA of Cololabis saira (Pacific saury), 544 nucleotides long. RefSeq lists it as uncharacterized. The transcript has 4 exons. The record is from RefSeq and is a predicted model, not a curated record. Lineage: Eukaryota; Metazoa; Chordata; Actinopteri; Beloniformes; Belonidae.